RNAcentral lists this unclassified non-coding RNA (229 nucleotides) under plant metagenome. RNAcentral's name for it is "partial contains small subunit ribosomal RNA, internal transcribed spacer 1, and 5.8S ribosomal RNA". The record is from RNAcentral.
UCUCCGUAGGUGAACCUGCGGAGGGAUCAUUACAGAGUUCUCGCCCUCGCGGGUAGAUCUCCCACCCACUGUUAUCGUUACUGUGUUGCUUUGGCGGGCCGCCGGGCCCCGCUCGGCCGCCGGCUCCGGCUGGCGCGCGCCCGCCAGAGGCCCAGCAAACUCUGAAUGUUAGUGUCGUCUGAGUACUAUAUAAUAGUUAAAACUUUCAACAACGGAUCUCUUGGUUCUC